This 988-nucleotide small RNA is filed under the name Drosophila ananassae. Its description in RNAcentral is "GF28158". The record is from RNAcentral. Lineage: Eukaryota; Metazoa; Arthropoda; Insecta; Diptera; Drosophilidae.
UUUUAAUACUUUUUUUUGGUGAAUCCCCAACCCAUUUCUCUGACUCAACCUCUCGGCCAGCUGUCUUAAUAUUUGUUUUAUCUACCGACCGUGGGAUAUUUUGUCUCCUGCGACUGCCGAGCACGUGAUCGCGAAUAGGCGUUGGAAAAAGUUGGUGCAUUGCACCACACUUUGAACAUUGAACACGGAUUAUACAAAUUAUUUAGCAUUUACUCGGGAUUACCAGCGUAUUAAAAGUGUAAUUAAUUUGUGUCUGUGUCAAUGCACAGUCUGCUGUUAAAUAAUCAACCAAUAUCGACUGCGAAAACCGCACAGAACAUACACGGCCGAUGCGAAAAUCUCUCAAAGGAUAAAAGGACAAAGGCCAAAAGGAAUUUGCAGCAAUGCAGCAGCACAAAAUGAGUAUCAAAUAUUAUGCAUAAAUAAUUAAAUGCAUACAUAUACGAGAAACACACAAUGCCUGGCCAGGAAUAAGGCGUGGUCCUUGACUGUGCAGGGUACAGUGAACACGCCUACUGCCGGCUCCUGCAGAGAUUUAUGAUCCGGCGGCCGCUUCUUGGGCCAAAAGGGGCAACGGACGGAGAUUGACAUAAAUAAAAUGGCUUGCUGGUUGGUUAGCCGGUUGUCGGUUGUUGGUUGUUGGUUGUUGGCUGUUGGCUGUUGGUUGGUCGCUUGUGGCCCGGUUUGGUCGGUUGGCUGGUCAAGGAGCAUGAAAACAAUUUCAGCCUGUUUCAGGACCGCCGCCGGACUGCUGGUCUGCCUGCUGCACUUACAACAUCGGAGACAAAUGCGAACACUUUCGAAAGAUGAAAGUUCAAUUCACUUCAAAGGCUUCUAGAUAUUUUCCAUUGCAUUCCAAAUUUUAAAGAAGCAGUUUCUAUACUUUCUUUACCAUUUCAGAGUAUGUAUUAUCUUCUUCAAGUAUUUGUAAGUGUCAUAAUAGUUUAAACUCUCUGAAAUACAGUACGCUUGCCUAGAUACCUAGUAA